Molecule: long non-coding RNA, 824 nt
Filed under: Helianthus annuus (common sunflower)
Lineage: Eukaryota; Viridiplantae; Streptophyta; Magnoliopsida; Asterales; Asteraceae
Description: hypothetical non coding rna
Source: RNAcentral
GGGGUAUGUGUUGACAUUCUGUUGCGCAUGAUGUUCGUACUGGUCCAUUCGUCGCAGGAGGUGCGUUUUGUUCCAAAAAAGGAUGCCCAGCUUGCUGAAAACAGAUAAAUAAAAUAUAAAAAUCAAGAUUGUCAAAUGCCAGCCAGAAUAUUAAUAAAAUAUGAAUAUAAUAAACUAAUGGGGUUGAACAAAAAAAAAACCUAAAAAUCUAAACUACGAAGAAACCUUGUUGAGUAUAAUCAAUACCAUCAACAUAUAGAAAUGAUUAUAUGAAAAAAAAAAAACAUGCAAUUUUGACUAGUGCUAAUUCAGUUGUAAACAUCUCUCUACUUGAGCAAAUGGUGGAUAAAUAAGAAAAUGUCUAAUGGGUUAGGUUCAUUUGUGAACAACCGCCUUGAUAGUGAACUGUGGUAACUAAUCCUAGCCCUUGAUUAUCAAUACACAAGUGUAAAUCAACGGCCAGGAUUUGAUGAUGAAAAUACACUAGUGUAUUUUAUGAUUUGAUGAUGUAAAUCAAUGGCCAGGAUUUGUUCACUCAGUUCACAAAUACACUAGUGUUCACUCUAGAACACCACUCUAUAUAUAUAUAGGGCUAGGGUAAAAUAAAAACUCCUACGAGUUGAGAGAGCUUAGAGAACUCGGUCAAAACGAGCCUAUAUAUAUAGGUUAGGGAUCCUAAGAGAAAUACUAAGCGCACCUUUUUAAGGUUUUUUUCUUUUUGGAAUUGUGCACAUGUUUAUAUUGUCAAUUUUUAAAUUAUACAUGUGUGUGUAUUAGUAAACACAAAUGUAUAAUUAAAAUUGACAAUAUACACGUCUAUAAUC